Molecule: transfer RNA, 67 nt
Filed under: Encyrtus eulecaniumiae
Lineage: Eukaryota; Metazoa; Arthropoda; Insecta; Hymenoptera; Encyrtidae
Also listed under: 2 other names
Description: tRNA-Asn
Source: RNAcentral
UUAAUUGAAACCAAAAAAGAGGUAAAUUAAUGUUAAUAAUUUAAAUGAAUUAAAAAUUCCAAUUAAU